Molecule: ribosomal RNA, 665 nt
Filed under: soil fungal sp. DM240
Lineage: Eukaryota; Fungi
Description: eukaryotic LSU rRNA
Rfam family: Eukaryotic large subunit ribosomal RNA
Source: RNAcentral
UUUGAAAUCUGGCUCUUUCAGAGUCCGAGUUGUAAUUUGCAGAGGGCGCUUUGGUGUCGGCAGCGGUCCAAGUUCCUUGGAACAGGACGUCACAGAGGGUGAGAAUCCCGUACGUGGUCGCUGACCUACACCGUGUAAAGCCCCUUCGACGAGUCGAGUUGUUUGGGAAUGCAGCUCUAAAUGGGAGGUAAAUUUCUUCUAAAGCUAAAUACUGGCCAGAGACCGAUAGCGCACAAGUAGAGUGAUCGAAAGAUGAAAAGCACUUUGGAAAGAGAGUCAAACAGCACGUGAAAUUGUUGAAAGGGAAGCGCUUGCAGCCAGACUUGCUUGUAGUUGCUCAUCCGGGCUUUUGCCCGGUGCACUCUUCUGCGAGCAGGCCAGCAUCAGUUUGGACGGUUGGAUAAAGGCCUCUGUCACGUACCUUCUCUCGGGAAGGCCUUAUAGGGGAGGCGUCAUGCAACCAGUCUGGACUGAGGUCCGCGCAUCUGCUAGGAUGCUGGCGUAAUGGCUGUAAGCGGCCCGUCUUGAAACACGGACCAAGGAGUCUAACAUCUAUGCGAGUGUUUGGGUGUCAAGCCCGAGCGCGUAAUGAAAGUGAACGGAGGUGGGAUCCCGCAAGGGUGCACCAUCGACCGAUCCUGAUGUCUUCGGAUGGAUUUGAGUAA